GGGUGUAUAGCUCAGUGGUAGAGCAUUUGACUGCAACUCAAGUUGUGAUCCCA
Molecule: transfer RNA, 53 nt
Filed under: Mustela putorius furo (domestic ferret)
Lineage: Eukaryota; Metazoa; Chordata; Mammalia; Carnivora; Mustelidae
Rfam family: tRNA
About the family: Transfer RNA (tRNA) molecules are approximately 80 nucleotides in length. Their secondary structure includes four short double-helical elements and three loops (D, anti-codon, and T loops).
Source: Rfam by way of RNAcentral